GAUGAACGCUGGCGGCGUGCCUAAUACAUGCAAGUCGAGCGAACGGACGAGAAGCUUGCUUCUCUGAUGUUAGCGGCGGACGGGUGAGUAACACGUGGAUAACCUACCUAUAAGACUGGGAUAACUUCGGGAAACCGGAGCUAAUACCGGAUAAUAUUUUGAACCACAUGGUUCAAAAGUGAAAGACGGUCUUGCUGUCACUUAUAGAUGGAUCCGCGCUGCAUUAGCUAGUUGGUAAGGUAACGGCUUACCAAGGCAACGAUGCAUAGCCGACCUGAGAGGGUGAUCGGCCACACUGGAACUGAGACACGGUCCAGACUCCUACGGGAGGCAGCAGUAGGGAAUCUUCCGCAAAGGGCGAAAGCCUGACGGAGCAACGCCGCGUGAGUGAUGAAGGUCUUCGGAUCGUAAAACUCUGUUAUUAGGGAAGAACAUAUGUGUAAGUAACUGUGCACAUCUUGACGGUACCUAAUCAGAAAGCCACGGCUAACUACGUG
RNAcentral lists this ribosomal RNA (497 nucleotides) under uncultured bacterium. RNAcentral's name for it is "partial 16S ribosomal RNA". It matches the Rfam family "Bacterial small subunit ribosomal RNA", at positions 28 to 507 of the family's 1533-position model. The record is from RNAcentral.